Molecule: ribosomal RNA, 1321 nt
Filed under: Oiceoptoma inaequale
Lineage: Eukaryota; Metazoa; Arthropoda; Insecta; Coleoptera; Silphidae
Description: eukaryotic LSU rRNA
Rfam family: Eukaryotic large subunit ribosomal RNA
Source: RNAcentral
ACUAACUAGGAUGUCCCUAGUAGCUGCGAGCGAACAGGACACAUAGCCCAGCACUGAAUCCCGCGUCCGACUCUCGGGCGUCGGGAGAUGUGGUGUUUGGGAGAGUUCAUCAACCGGAGACCGGCGGACAAGCCCAAGUCCUUCUUGAACGGGGCCACUUACCCACAGAGGGUGCCAGGCCCGUAAAGGCUGUGGACGGUCGUCGGCGAGCUUCUCCUUAGAGUCGGGUUGCUUUAGAGUGCAGCCCUAAGUAGGUGGUAAACUCCAUCUAAGGCUAAAUAUGACCACGAGACCGAUAGCGAACAAGUACCGUGAGGGAAAGUUGAAAAGGACUUUGAAGAGAGAGUUCAAUAGUACGUGAAACCGUUCAGGGGUAAACCUGCGAAACCCGAAAAGUUCGAACGGGGAUAUUCAACGCGUCCGGUCCGGCGGACGAGCCGGGGCGGCUCUCGACGGGCGACCUCUCGAGGUCGUCCGCGGACGUCUCGGCCGUUCGUCGCCGGCGCGUGCACUUAUCCCCUUGUAGGACGUCGCGAUCCGUCGGGUGUCGGUCUACGGUCGGCGGUGGAGCCCGCGCGCGCCUCGGCGCGCGCGAACCCGUCGAUUUUCCGGCCGACUCGCUCGACGGCAUCACUCGAGGCGCGGAGCCGCGACCCGUUCGCAUCCGACUGUCCGCAAGCGCGACCGGUCUCCCGGCUGUCGGAUCUGAUGCCGGCACCGGGCCCGGACGGCUGCUGGCGGGCACGUUCUCGGAUAGACUCCGACUCACGCCUAUCGGCGACGCUAUAGCUUUGGGUAAUCUCAGGACCCGUCUUGAAACACGGACCAAGGAGUCUAGCAUGUGCGCGAGUCAUUGGGACUUGUAAACCUACUGGCGAAAUGAAAGUGAAGGCCGCCUUGCGCGCGCCUAGGGAAGAUGGGCCGCACCGCGGUGCGGCCCCGCACUCCUGGGGCGUCUCGUGCCCAUCGCGGGCUGAGGCGCACCGAGAGCGCAAAUGCUGGGACCCGAAAGAUGGUGAACUAUGCCUGGUCAGAACGAAGUCAGGGGAAACCCUGAUGGAGGUUCGUAGCGAUUCUGACGUGCAAAUCGAUCGUCGGAACUGGGUAUAGGGGCGAAAGACUAAUCGAACCAUCUAGUAGCUGGUUCCCUCCGAAGUUUCCCUCAGGAUAGCUGGCGCUCGAUGUACGAGUCUCAUUCGGUAAAGCGAAUGAUUAGAGGCAUUGGGGUCGAAACGACCUCAACCUAUUCUCAAACUUUAAAUGGGUGAGAUCUCCGGCUUGCUUAGAUGUGAAGCCGCGAGAAUCUUAAAUCGGAUCAUGA